This 791-nucleotide ribosomal RNA is filed under the name uncultured bacterium. RNAcentral describes it as "bacterial SSU rRNA". It matches the Rfam family "Bacterial small subunit ribosomal RNA", at positions 8 to 796 of the family's 1533-position model. The record is from RNAcentral.
AGAGUUUGAUCCUGGCUCAGAGUGAACGCUGGCGGCAGGCCUAACACAUGCAAGUCGAACGGCAGCGGGUCGUAGCAAUACGAUGCCGGCGAGUGGCGGACGGGUGAGGAAUACAUCGGAAUCUACCUUGUCGUGGGGGAUAACGUAGGGAAACUUACGCUAAUACCGCAUACGAACUAUGGUUGAAAGCGGCGGACCGCAAGGGUCGCGCGAUUGGAUGAGCCGAUGUCCGAUUAGCUAGUUGGCGGGGUAAAGGCCCACCAAGGCGACGAUCGGUAGCUGGUCUGAGAGGAUGAUCAGCCACACUGGAACUGAGACACGGUCCAGACUCCUACGGGAGGCAGCAGUGGGGAAUAUUGGACAAUGGGGGCAACCCUGAUCCAGCCAUGCCGCGUGUGUGAAGAAGGCCUUCGGGUUGUAAAGCACUUUUGUCCGGAAAGAAAAGCUCUGGGUUAAUACCCCGGGGUCAUGACGGUACCGGAAGAAUAAGCACCGGCUAACUUCGUGCCAGCAGCCGCGGUAAUACGAAGGGUGCAAGCGUUACUCGGAAUUACUGGGCGAAAGCGUGCGUAGGUGCGUUAAGUCUGUCGUGAAAGCCCCGGGCUCAACCUGGGAAUGGCGAUGGAUACUGGCGGGCUAGAGUGCGGUAGAGGAGAGUGGAAUUCCCGGUGUAGCAGUGAAAUGCGUAGAGAUCGGGAGGAACAUCAGUUGCGAAGNNGGCUCUCUGGACCAGCACUGACACUGAGGCACGAAAGCGUGGGGGCAAACAGGAUUAGAUACCCUAGUAGUCC